This is a long non-coding RNA of Thunnus maccoyii (southern bluefin tuna), 424 nucleotides long. RefSeq lists it as uncharacterized. The transcript has 3 exons. The record is from RefSeq and is a predicted model, not a curated record. Lineage: Eukaryota; Metazoa; Chordata; Actinopteri; Scombriformes; Scombridae.
CUUGGUAGGAAGCAGCGCAUCUGACUUGGUGAUUCGAAGGAUGCUGUCCACAACUUUGACAAACUGCCUAGCAUGUUAUUUCAUUUGGGCUCGCACGGGAAAGAAGAAGCCAUUCAGAGAAACCACUGUGCAAGACUACAUGUUUGGAUUUGCUCAUACUCCCUAUGUCUGCAGCCAGCUCUGUACUGAAAAGACACUUAACUUUGUUAAGUGUUAGAUGGAAGAUUGCAUGCCAAAAAAAUAAACCGGUUGCCACUGACCUCCACACAGCUGCAGCUCGGCAAUUUGACAGGAAGCUGUCCCAUCUGGCCUUCACUGACACCCUCAAAAUAUGGCUCCGUCAUGCUCCAGAGUGGGAGGGUGGCAUUAAAAGGAGAGCAAGACAAACUUUAAAGAAUGUAUUUAUCUGUAUUAUAUUUACUUA